CGACCUCAGAUCAGACGAGACGACCCGCUGAAUUUAAGCAUAUUACUAAGCGGAGGAAAAGAAACUAACCAGGAUUCCCUCAGUAGCUGCGAGCGAAGAGGGGAGAGCCCAGCGCCGAAUCCCCCGUCCCCUCGUGGGCGCGGGGAAAUGUGGCGUACGGAAGUCCGCAUCGCCCGGCGCGGGCCGGGGGCCUGAGUCCUUCUGAUGGAGGCUCAGCCCGUGGACGGUGUGAGGCCGGUAACGGCCCCCGCCCCGCCGGGGCGCGGACUUCUCAGAGUCGGGUUGUUUGGGAAUGCAGCCCAAAGAGGGUGGUAAACUCCAUCUAAGGCUAAAUA
This 335-nucleotide ribosomal RNA is filed under the name Silurus asotus (Amur catfish). RNAcentral's name for it is "eukaryotic LSU rRNA". It matches the Rfam family "Eukaryotic large subunit ribosomal RNA", at positions 1 to 322 of the family's 3401-position model. Lineage: Eukaryota; Metazoa; Chordata; Actinopteri; Siluriformes; Siluridae. The record is from RNAcentral.